Long non-coding RNA from Poecilia latipinna (sailfin molly), 410 nucleotides. RefSeq lists it as uncharacterized. NCBI's taxonomy places the organism in Eukaryota, Metazoa, Chordata, Actinopteri, Cyprinodontiformes, Poeciliidae. The transcript has 3 exons. The record is from RefSeq and is a predicted model, not a curated record.
AAGGUUGAUGGGACUGAAGCCUCACUGAGAGCCGUUCUUUGUUCUUGUGUACACUGCAGUAGCUAACACAUACACACGUUUAUUUAAUCGCCGAAUAAGUAAAAGUUGAAUGAACACAAAACAUGCUCAUUGAUUGAUUUCGUCUCCUGUCAUGGUGGCAAACAUCGCAGUGGGGAUGGAGGGCGAGAACAGUCACGGUGCUCCUUCUGCUUGGUUUCUUGUUGCGCCGUUGGACAGUGCUCAUAGUUGAACGUUAUUUACCGUUAAUUGCGAUGUUUCAGUUGUGGUUUCUGACAUGGGCAAUAUGUGCAACCGCCCAGGGCUUUAUUUUUCUAGGGAUAGCAGGAGACCUCUGCGGAUUGUAGCACAUCGAUGAAAGCAAAACAGAAUGAAAUGACAUCAGAUUGCCC